This is a long non-coding RNA of Alosa sapidissima (American shad), 535 nucleotides long. RefSeq lists it as uncharacterized. NCBI's taxonomy places the organism in Eukaryota, Metazoa, Chordata, Actinopteri, Clupeiformes, Clupeidae. The record is from RefSeq and is a predicted model, not a curated record. The transcript is spliced from 3 exons.
UGACUUUUGUUCAAAAAAGUGAAAUAAUACUGUUCAUAAUAUUUUUCCCCUCAGGACCAGAUGGCUGUGUGACAUGUUUUCAGUUCUGUGCAAGGAACCACCAUCACACCAUGGAAGACGUCAAUGUCAACAGCAGAAGGAAAAUUACUCUGCAGGCCCUUCCCAUCUUCCUGUGGGAAGAUGGAUUUUUUUAAGACCUGGAAUCAACAACAAAUGGCGGCCCUCUGGCGGAAAAUGUCAGAGAAACCUUUGUAGGCUCCAAUUGAGGCCCUUUGGGGAAUUGAAUGUAAUGGUAGCAUUUAACACUCUUCAUCUCCUCUCUCCACUUCCUUUGUGGCCAAUCCCCCUGAUGACGGACUAAAAAUACUGUUUUCCUCUGACUCUGUCCUCUCACCUCCCUCACCUCCCAAAGAUUCACUGUCAUCCGUGCACAGCAAAGCAUUCUGGGAAAAAAAUCUGCAGAGGCAAAGAGAGUUCUGUGACAUAUGAAAGUACCUAUAGUGGGUUCAUGAUGUGUAAAUAUAUUUUGGAAGUA